UUCUGGGAUUUGUUUAUCAUU
Non-coding RNA from Caenorhabditis elegans, 21 nucleotides. NCBI's taxonomy places the organism in Eukaryota, Metazoa, Nematoda, Chromadorea, Rhabditida, Rhabditidae. The record is from Ensembl.